GACGAACGCUGGCGGCGUGCUUAACACAUGCAAGUCGAACGGAAAGGCCCUGCUUUUGUGGGGUGCUCGAGUGGCGAACGGGUGAGUAUCACGUGAGUAACCUGCCCCUGACUUUGGGAUAACUUCAGGAAACUGGGGCUAAUACCGGAUAGGAGCUCUUGCUGCAUGGUGGGGGUUGGAAAGUUUCGGCGGUUGGGGAUGGACUCGCGGCUUAUCAGCUUGUUGGUGAGGUAGUGGCUUACCAAGGCUUUGACGGGUAGCCGGCCUGGGAGGGUGACCGGCCUCAUUGGUACUGAGAUACGGACCAGACGCCUACGGGAGGCAGCAGUCGGGAAUAUUGCACAAUGGGCGGAAGCCUGAUGCAGCAACGCCGCGUGCGGGAUGACGGCCUUCGGGUUGUAAACCGCUUUCGCCUGUGACGAAGCGUGAGUGACGGUAAUGGGUAAAGAAGCACCGGCUAACUACGUG
RNAcentral lists this ribosomal RNA (468 nucleotides) under uncultured bacterium. RNAcentral's name for it is "partial 16S ribosomal RNA". It matches the Rfam family "Bacterial small subunit ribosomal RNA", at positions 28 to 507 of the family's 1533-position model. The record is from RNAcentral.